RNAcentral lists this long non-coding RNA (372 nucleotides) under Mytilus galloprovincialis (Mediterranean mussel). Lineage: Eukaryota; Metazoa; Mollusca; Bivalvia; Mytilida; Mytilidae. The record is from RNAcentral.
UUGCUCUGUGUUAAGCUUUUAUGUUUUGGUCUGUUUUUCUUAAACUAUAAACAAUAGGUCAACUAUAUUUUUUUGUAUGGAUGAAUUGUUAGCUGUACAUGCCUGCCUGGCAUGGUUCAUCUGACCUUGACAUGGUUCAUUGGUCAAUGUUUAGUUUUCUUGGUUAAUGUUUAAGUUUAUGUGACAGCCUUAUAUUUAGGACUAUCAAAAUAAUAUCAAUGAUUAGUAAAGAAGGCAAGACACUUACAGCGUGUGCACUCAAGUGUUAUAUUAUUCCAUAUUUCUUGUUGGUUUUAUUUUAUACCACUAUGCCAAAUAUGGUGUUGUUUAUAAGAUAUUGUUUAAUUUAUGUAAUAAAAUUUAUGAAGCAUG